AGAGUGGCAGGAGAGGCACAAGGAUACAUCAGAGUGGAUGCAGGAUCAACAGUCUGCAAGCAAAUGGAGCAAUUGGCAACAUGGUGUUACCCAAAUAUACCAAUAGAAGGGAAAUAAUAUAAGGAGAUGGGAUAAGUGCUGAUGCAGAGAAGAAUCAAAGGAGUUGUGUAGAUUUAGGGCAUUGCUAUUCGGGUGUUCAAAUGGUUUUACUGCAUUUUAUUUGUUUUUAUUUAUUUUUUAUUAUUAUAUUUAUUAUUUUAUUUAUUUUAUUUAAGUAAACCAACUGCUCAGUCCAACAUCACACUGGCCUCUCUUUUGAGGCACAAUAGUUCUCCUUACUUGCACUGUGAAUAUCUACUGUAUCUGCCAACACUGCUUUAUAUUUAUGCUGGAUGACACCUUAAUUCUCUAUAGAACAGGAGUAUUAAACUCAUGAAAGUUUUAGUGUCUCUGCUUUCCCCUUUGAAUCAAAUCUCUCUAGUAUAUAUAGUGCAGAAACCAUUUUUGCCUCCAGAUUAAGAUUUUCAAAUAUGAAGGCAUGUAAAUAUUUUGUCAAUUUCAGCAUUUUGAGAUGGUGGAAUAUUUAUCAAUUAAACAGGUCACAGCUGAAUGAUACAAGGCUAACUUCCAGUCCUAACUAUGAUGGAGCAUCUAUUGUAAUGGAAACAUGCUGCUAUCUAAAGGUCACAAUCCUCAAAACAUAGGAGCCAAAAAUCAAGACCUGAAAUCCAUAUUUAGGCAUCUGGGAGCUGCAGUUAAAUCAAUCUUGAAAAAUCAGACAGGUACCUAACUAUGGAGUUAAACCUGUUUUUGAAAAUCUUGGCCUUAAUGUCACAUGGUGACCAAUGGGGGAUUUCUGCCCUCUUAUAAUGUAAUUCAUUUUAUUAUGACUUAGAACACUAUGCAGUUAUACCACCACAACUUAACACAUCACAAAGCCCCUUAAAAAGGUGUUUAAAGUAUCUGAAGGUCAAUGUCACAUUAUUAGACUAUUUUACAGUACGAGUCACCACAUUUCUGGUAUGGUGACACUUCAACAGCAAAAAUCAUUAAAAAACCUACUUUUGCCAGACAUUACCACAGGGUUUCUGCUGAGAGCUUCAGCUCUCUAGUAAAGGGAAAGCCGAUCCCAUUAACUAAUAUGUUAAUGGUAAGGACUGUAAUUUUUUACUUAGCAUCCAACCAGAAAUCCUCUCUCUUCAUACAUUCUUUAUUUACCAUAAAAGUAAUUAAGAUUUUAAAGCUAAAAUUAUUUCUGUAUUUGGUGUUAUCCCAUGAUAGUUUACAAGAUGAACAAUGCCAUCGUUAUUACAGAUAAACAUGAGUGAAUUCUAAUGAAUGGUGUUGAUUUAGCCCACACAAAAGCUAAACCUCUCCAAGGUCCUUCUUAUGGAGAUUUGUCCACAAUGGCUUCACCUAGAGGGUGGACUAUGCCCUCUCUGUACUCCAACCAGCCUACAGAGCUGGCCCUGGACUGCUGGUAUUCGGAAAUUAGCAAAUAGCCAGGGCCAUUCAUGCAGAGGCCUUGUCCUGCCAAAGUUUUCACCCCUUCCCCCGGGCAGCAUUGUUCCAGUGGAUAUGGUUUCAUUGAGGGCAGCUGCCUCAGGGAUCCCUCUAAAGGUAGAGUUCCCACCAUGAAAAUGGCAGACGGCCCGAUUUCCACAGGGCUGAUGGGGAGACAAUGUGUGCUUCACCCCAUCCACCAACUCUUUUUCCCAUCCCCAUGCGCUGAUCCCCUAGAUUCAUGACUCUAUGGGCUCCAGGAGGGAAGGGGGAUGCUGCAUAGGAGGGGUAUUAUUUGGAUCAGGGGGAUAAAAUCAGGACAUCAGUUAAUUAGUGUUCACUACCUGCAACUGGCACGGAUCCCACUCCCUUUUUCAAACAAUGGCAAAACUCUUCCCCGACUCAAAUGGAAUCAGGAUGGAGCCUAUAAUCCUUUCCUCAACAAUGAAUUUCUCGCUAAUAUGAAGUGUGGCAGACAGUUAUUUCAUAGGUUUCUUCUUUUUUUUUUUUUUUUAAAGAAAAAAUUAGUGUACCAAUUUCUUAGAGUUUAAGACCACAGGAGACCAUUAGUUCAUCUAGUCUGAUCUCCUUUAUGUCACAGGCCAUUACAUCGAAUCCUAACAGUGGUACUGGUACAUUACUUGAUGGAAAUGGUAAAUUGUCAAAAACAACAGAAA
Molecule: long non-coding RNA, 2180 nt
Organism: Dermochelys coriacea (leatherback sea turtle)
Lineage: Eukaryota; Metazoa; Chordata; Testudines; Dermochelyidae
Exons: 3
Source: RefSeq, a predicted model, not a curated record